CCCUUAGAUGUUCUGGGCCGCACGCGCGCUACACUGAUACAAUCAGCAAGCUUUUCCUUUUCACCCUUGACCGACAGGUCCGGGUAAUCUUGUGAAAUUGUAUCGUGAUAGGGCUUGACGAUUGUAAUUAUUUGUCACAAACGAGGAAUUCCUAGUAAGCGCGAGUCAUCAACUCGCACUGAUUACGUCCCUGCCCUUUGUACACACCGCCCGUCGCUCCUACCGAUUGAAUGUUAAGGCGAACCCUCCGGAAUCGCGGUUCGGAUUGGUUUUCCUUUCUGAACCAACGAUGAAGUUGUGUAAGCCUUGACAUUUAGAGGAAGGAAAAGUCGUAACA
This 337-nucleotide ribosomal RNA is filed under the name uncultured eukaryote. Its description in RNAcentral is "partial 18S ribosomal RNA". It matches the Rfam family "Eukaryotic small subunit ribosomal RNA", at positions 1470 to 1796 of the family's 1831-position model. The record is from RNAcentral.